AACAUCUAAGUAACUGGAGGAAAAGAAAAUAAUUAAUGAUUCCCCUAGUAGUGGCGAGCGAACGGGGAAAAGCCCAAACCAAAUAUGUUUUGGCAUGUUUGGGGUUGUAGGGCCGCGUCAUCGAAUGUAUAUGCGAAAAAGAAGACAACUGGAAAGUUGUGCCAUAGUGGGUGAUAGCCCCGUAUUUGUAUGUAUAUAUUAUUUGUAGCGGUACCCUGAGUAGGGCGGGACACGUGGAAUCCUGUCUGAAUCUACCAGGACCAUCUGGUAAGGCUAAAUACUCCUAGAUCACCGAUAGUGAACCAGUACCGUGAGGGAAAGGUGAAAAGUACCCUGAAUAAGGGAGUGAAAUAGUACCUGAAACCGUGUGCUUACAAGCGGUCGGAGCUUCUUCGUGAAGUGACGGCGUGCCUUUUGCAUAAUGAUCCUACGAGUUGCUCCUCACUAGCAAGGUUAAGGGCUGAAGGCCCGGAGCCGAAGCGAAAGCGAGUCUGAAUAGGGCGUAUAGUUAGUGGGGGCAGACGCGAAACCUAGUGAUCUACCCAUGGCCAGGUUGAAGCUUUGGUAACACAAAGUGGAGGACCGAACCCGUAGACGUUGAAAAGUCUUGGGAUGAGCUGUGGGUAGGGGUGAAAGGCUAAUCAAACUGGGAAAUAGCUCGUACUCCCCGAAAUGUAUUUAGGUACAGCCUUGAGUGUAGUGUUAUAGAGGUAGAGCUACUGGUUGGAUGCGGGGGCUUCAUCGCCUACCAAGUCCUGUCAAACUCCGAAUGCUAUAACAUGUUCCUCUG
This 790-nucleotide ribosomal RNA is filed under the name uncultured bacterium. RNAcentral describes it as "bacterial LSU rRNA". It matches the Rfam family "Bacterial large subunit ribosomal RNA", at positions 197 to 980 of the family's 2925-position model. The record is from RNAcentral.